AUUGAACGCUGGCGGCAGGCCUAACACAUGCAAGUCGAACGAGUGGCGGACGGGUGAGUAAUGUCUGGGAAACUGCCUGAUGGAGGGGGAUAACUACUGGAAACGGUAGCUAAUACCGCAUACCAUCGGAUGUGCCCAGAUGGGAUUAGCUAGUAGGUGGGGUAAAGGCUCACCAAGGCGACGAUCCCUAGCUGGUCUGAGAGGAUGACCGGAAACACUGGAACUGAGACACGGUCCAGACUACUACGGUAGGCAUCAGUGGGGAAUUUUGGACAAUGGGCGCAAGCUUGAUGCAGCCAUGCCGCGUGUAUGAAGAAGGCCUACGGGUUGUAAAGUACUUUCAGCGGGGAGGCGUGACCCGCAGAAGAAGCACCGGCUAACUACGUGCCAGCAGCCGCAGUAAUUC
Molecule: ribosomal RNA, 406 nt
Filed under: uncultured bacterium
Lineage: Bacteria
Description: partial 16S ribosomal RNA
Rfam family: Bacterial small subunit ribosomal RNA
Source: RNAcentral